Molecule: long non-coding RNA, 468 nt
Filed under: Panax ginseng (ginseng)
Lineage: Eukaryota; Viridiplantae; Streptophyta; Magnoliopsida; Apiales; Araliaceae
Description: long non-coding RNA (PGIN_LNC008839)
Source: RNAcentral
AAUCAGAACCAGCUAUAUCGUUGGGGACCUUGUUGAAGGGAAUGGCUGGUGGACUCCGAUCGACAGGCUUCUUGAGCUAAGCCAAUGAGGAGGGCAACGACGAUGUAUCGACACCGGAGCUUUGAAUCUUGCCACAUGCUCGACGUAAUGCCUGGCCCAUCUCUCACUCACGUUAACUUUAAGACUCUAUAUAUAUAACCGUGGCUGCCGAAGGAGUUGAAAUCGUGACGGCCAACGAGAAUGAGCUCGGAGACGCCGAGAGCGGUGUCAUUUCUGAUUUGGGAGGAGCGAAGCUCUUACAUGAAAUUUGGGAGGAGAGAAGCCCUUAUACGGACGUGAGAGGUGGAACCGUGUUUUUUUUUAAAACAAAUCUGCCAAAACUACGUAAUUUUGGCGGACUGUGUACAAAAAUUUUUUGCAAGGAUGUGUAUGGCCAUUAUUCCCUAUAUAUAUAUAUAUAUAUAUAUA